CCCCAUAUGUAGCCAACACAACCUUAUAUCACAUAUCACAUGUUGCUAACUUUCGAUCUACUCACAGAUCUGCUCACUCGAGUUGUCAGUUAGGAUGUAGCUACACGGGCUGCUCACACAAGCUGUCAGGUUUCCACAACACAUGUCGGACUACCUAUCCACCAGUAGAACAUACAAGACCAGUACUCGGAAUGCCAAAACCUGUGUAACAUAUAUCAUG
This 220-nucleotide long non-coding RNA is filed under the name Gossypium barbadense (sea-island cotton). RNAcentral's name for it is "long non-coding RNA (GBAR_LNC006524)". Lineage: Eukaryota; Viridiplantae; Streptophyta; Magnoliopsida; Malvales; Malvaceae. The record is from RNAcentral.